RNAcentral lists this non-coding RNA (23 nucleotides) under Cricetulus griseus (Chinese hamster). The record is from RNAcentral. Lineage: Eukaryota; Metazoa; Chordata; Mammalia; Rodentia; Cricetidae.
GAGGCUUUACGACGUCGUCUUGA